GGGAUGGUAGCUCAGUGGUAGAGCAUGUGCUUUGCAUGCAAAAGGUCCCAGGUUCAGUCUCUGGCCUCUCCCG
This is a non-coding RNA of Podarcis lilfordi (Lilford's wall lizard), 73 nucleotides long. The record is from the annotation of a GenBank genome assembly. NCBI's taxonomy places the organism in Eukaryota, Metazoa, Chordata, Lepidosauria, Squamata, Lacertidae.